This 266-nucleotide ribosomal RNA is filed under the name uncultured eukaryote. Its description in RNAcentral is "partial 18S ribosomal RNA". It matches the Rfam family "Eukaryotic small subunit ribosomal RNA", at positions 21 to 289 of the family's 1831-position model. The record is from RNAcentral.
UAGUCAUAUGCUUGUCUCAAAGAUUAAGCCAUGCAUGUCUAAGUAUAAACUGCUUAUACUGUGAAACUGCGAAUGGCUCAUUAAAUCAGUUAUAGUUUAUUUGAUGGUACAACCUACUCGGAUAACCGUAGUAAUUCUAGAGCUAAUACGUGCGUAAAUCCCGACUUCUGGAAGGGACGUAUUUAUUAGAUAAAAGGCCAGCCGGACUUUGUCCGACCUGCGGUGAAUCAUGAUAACUUCACGAAUCGCAUGGCCUUGCGCCGGCG